GUCUGGUCUUAUCAGCUUUCUUGUUGUUCCUAUAGUUUGUUAAUAAAUAUGAAAAAUUCUGAUAGUACCUGUUACGUGUGUGUUUGUGACACCAAAGAAAAUUUUGACCUAGUCCAGCACUCUACAGAAAGCUUGAAGUAUCUGAUUAAACUACAGUCUAUUGCCUUCUCUCACUCCUGCAACCAGCUGGUGGAACCAUAGUGUGGUUCAUCUCAAACAAGCCCAAGGUCUUCAGACUUACUAAAAACUUCAAGGUUAUUUGACUUUGUUCAACCCAGACUCAUUGGAGAUAUGUGCCCAGGGCUUCAUUUUUGAGAACAGAGAAACAUGUACCCUAAAGCAGGGAUUCUCAACCAGUCAGCUGUGGCCCCCUAGUGGCCUCAUUGAUCCUGCAGGUAUAGAUGUUUGGAGAAAUUGAUGCCCUACCUGGGGGUCUGCAUUAACGAGACUCUCCUAAUGAAUGGGAGGACACUAAAAGGCAUCUUCUUUCCAUCCAUGUAUCAACUCCAAGACAGGCAGGAAAGUCUCUUCCAUGUCAAUAUCCUCUUGGCCUCACCUGUCCACGCGAAUCCUCCCAAAGUAAUCUAAGCAUCAAGCACAUCCACUUUCCUUCAAACUGAUGUGAUCGGGGCGAUGCGCCGAGGAUGCGGGGCGACCCAGGUGACCUUGUUCCAUAUUCAAUUUCAUCGGCCCUGCGUUCCCAUGGACAGGUCCUCCGCCAGCUGCUCUCCCCGUCGCACAGUUCCUUGUGCAACAGCGAGAACAUCAGUCUGGGGACGACUUCAAGAGCCCUUAUUGAUGGUGUUGUCAAGGCGAGGGCGAGAGCAACUUAAUCUCUCUCAAUUAAUACCCCCGCCUGCGGCCACCACGUCCCAGUGCUCAGUAGCCCUUUUCCCCCACACAGGCCCCUGAGCGCCUUGCUGACACUCACCUUUCUACUCCUAAUGAGUCCCUCUCCGAUUUGCUGCCAUUGCUCCAGGCCUAAAAAUUACCCUAAAUCCCAACACAUCCUUGACUCUGUGCAUGUCCACCCUGUGUGAAGAUAAGGAGGAAUAUCCUUUUUAAUGUCUGUUGUGGACCCUUUUUAGAUUGUAAUGAUGUAAUAACAGUGUGCUACAUUGGUGAUGAAUUAAAGCUCAUGUGAAAUUUCCUGUUUUAGUUGAAAAUACAUCCACAUGCUGAAAUAAAAGUCUCAGCAACUUCUUCAACCUCAUGCUGACUUUAAAG
Molecule: non-coding RNA, 1227 nt
Organism: Danio rerio (zebrafish)
Lineage: Eukaryota; Metazoa; Chordata; Actinopteri; Cypriniformes; Danionidae
Source: Ensembl